This 874-nucleotide long non-coding RNA is filed under the name Equus caballus (horse). RNAcentral describes it as "lncRNA (ENSECAG00000045597.1)". Lineage: Eukaryota; Metazoa; Chordata; Mammalia; Perissodactyla; Equidae. The record is from RNAcentral.
GAGCGCCCCUCGUCCUCCUCGCCCUUGACUGAGUGAAGGUGGGGAGGGCUCAGAGUCGGAAGAGACCGCCAGAAUCCGAAGUUUCCACUGGGGUCCGGGCCACAGAGCUCGCGGCCAAGUUGUCACCGUUUGGAACUGGUUUAUAUUUUAACUUGGUGCCUCCUGUAAAUUUUUUUCUCUCCUUUGGCUAUUUCCAUCCUUACUGGAGACAACAAAUCAGCAAUGCUCUCUUUGAGCUUUUAUUAAUAUCCGAGGGAGGGAUAAAGUUGGCCACGCUGAUCUCACGGAAUCUCUCGAGAGGUUUUGUUGCUGUUGUUUUUAAUGGAACACUCUUUUUAAAAGAGAGAGUGUACAACAUGUUUUACAUGAAAACUCAAGUGUAUGGAUUCAGCAAAAUCUUCUCAGAAAAACACUCGGCUCGAACACAAAUCUUCAGACUGAGGCCCCACAAAAUAUUUUCAGAUAGAACUAUUCUACUUCAAAUAUCGAAAAUAAUCUGAAUUCGUCUUUCUCCUCAUAAAGCUGAAAAGCCAUUGCUUCUGCACAAGUGUCUUAUAAAAUUGGCAGAAGCAGCGUCCGUUUGAAACUUCAGAUAAACAACAGGGAAAUCUGCCUUCCAGUUGAGCCUCAGCCAUUUCCAGUUGACAGUGAAGGAGCAUUUACCUGUGGCUGCCACUGCCAACCGCAGGACCACGGACACAGGAGGGGCUAACCAGCUUCUCCCUGGAGGUCCUUCCAAAGGGGGUUUGAGGCAGACAAAGAUUUCCUAGAGUGUGUCCCACAAAAUCCCAAUUUCUUACACCUGAAAAUGUGUUAUUAUGUACUUAAGAUUGGAAAACACUGAGUUGAACGAAAAUUAAACUAACAUCUUUAC